AAUGAACGCUGGCGGCGUGCCUAAUGCAUGCAAGUCGAGCGAAAAGAUAAGAAGAUCUCGCCCCUACCGUUAGCGGCGGACGGGUGAGUAACACGUACAUAACCUACCUAUAAUUCUGGGAUAAUAUCGUGAAAACGGUGCUAAUAACAGCUAAUACAUUGAACGGCUUGGUUCAAUAGUGAAUGACAGUUUUCCUGUUACUUUUAGCUGAUUCCGGGCCGCAUUAGCUAGUUGGUAAGGUAACGGCCUACCAAGGCAACGAUGCGUAGCCGACCUGAGAGGGUGAUCAGCCACACUGGAACUGAGACACGGUCCAGACUCCUACGGGAGGCAGCAGUAGGGAAUCUUCCGCAAUGGGCGAAAGCCUGACGCAGCAACGCCGCGUGAGUGAUGAAGGUCUUCGGGUCGUAAAACUCUGUUAUUAGGGAAGAACAACUGUAGAUGUAAACAUGGACGUCUUGACGGUACCUAAUCAGAAAGCAACGGCUAACUUCGUG
This 497-nucleotide ribosomal RNA is filed under the name uncultured bacterium. Its description in RNAcentral is "partial 16S ribosomal RNA". It matches the Rfam family "Bacterial small subunit ribosomal RNA", at positions 29 to 507 of the family's 1533-position model. The record is from RNAcentral.